AACGGUCUAUACCUGCGGUACCUGCGGAAGGAUCAUUAUCAAUUUACAGCGGACUUCGGUCCUGUCUGCACCCUUGUCUUUUGCGUACUAUAUGUUUCCUCGGUGGGCUUGCCUGCCGAUAGGACACUUAUAAACUCUUUUGUAAUUGCAAUCAGCGUCAGAAAACUAUAAUAGUUACAACUUUUAGCAACGGAUCUCU
This 199-nucleotide unclassified non-coding RNA is filed under the name soil metagenome. Its description in RNAcentral is "partial contains 5.8S ribosomal RNA, internal transcribed spacer 2, and large subunit ribosomal RNA". The record is from RNAcentral.